UCCACGUCAACAAAAAAUAAUUAAUUAUUAACCACAUUUUUUUUAAUAAUAAUAACAACUUAGAACAGAAAAAAAAGGAAUAAAAGUCUAAUAAGUCCACCAAAUGAUCCAUUAAUAACAGUUUGCUUUAAUUAAUCUGAUUCCAUCUCAAAUCGAUGCCAAAUGUCAACGGUACAUAUAUCUUCCUCAUCACUUUCGCCAUUUUACUUGUCCCAUUUAUCAUCAUAUUGAAGAAAAAAUUUGUGUGUUGUGACGAUGAAUCGCAGCCACAUUCGAAUAAUAAUACAGCCGAUGGAAUAGCAACAUCUCGGUGUCCGCCAGAAAAUCCAGCUGGUGAAGUAGCGAUUGGUAUUUACGAGGGAGAAAUUAGAGUGAAAAAUAGUGAUUGUUCGAUUUGUAUUGCUGAAAUUAAAAAAGGAGAGAGGUGUGUGAUUCUUCACCCUUGUUGUCAUGGAUUUCAUGUUGAUUGUAUUCGUCCUUGGUUUGAAGAUAAAGAUACGUGCCCCAUGUGUCGGACCACUGUUAGUGAGUUGUCACGUAUAACACGGUAUCGAGAAAGUCUCGCAUCAUGAUGACUCGAUCCAUAUUUAUGUCUAACUAUAGCAGCUAUGUGGUUGGAAUUGAAUCAUCUUAUAUUGUGUAAAUUAGAAUCUCAUCUCUUCGUAAAUGGCCAAGAAUGUGGACUCUCCAUUUGAAGAUCCAUCCACUGUAAUCAGUUAUGUCUCUGUUAGAGUUGUGAUCCGAAUUUUGUUGAUCCGGUCCUGAAAGUUUCCCGGUGCGACCAAUGUUUGUGAUUUUCAAUGGGUCUGUGGUGGUAGCGUAGGGUAUGGACCUUUAUGUUUUUGGACCUAGGACUUAUUUGUACGCACGUAUUAUAUAAGUGCGAUUUAGUGGGCUGUUUCGGAUCAUUCUUAUACACACGCGAAAUUGAGACUAUUGUCCCAACAUUGUACUCUCUCUCCAUUAUAGUGAAUUCCUCUGCCUCUGUCCGUGUUUUUUCCUGCAAA
RNA transcript from Capsicum annuum, 1007 nucleotides. RefSeq lists it as uncharacterized. The transcript is spliced from 2 exons. Lineage: Eukaryota; Viridiplantae; Streptophyta; Magnoliopsida; Solanales; Solanaceae. The record is from RefSeq and is a predicted model, not a curated record.